The sequence is a ribosomal RNA, 1448 nucleotides long. It matches the Rfam family "Bacterial small subunit ribosomal RNA".
UAGAGUUUGAUCCUGGCUCAGGACAAACGCUGGCGGCGUGCCUAACACAUGCAAGUCGAACGCCCUGCGCAAGCAGGGAGUGGCGGACGGGUGAGUAACACGUGGGCUACCUACCUUUCGGUGAGGAAUACCGGCGAGAAAUCGCCGACAAUACCGCAUACGCUUCUUUCACGAGAAGCAAAGUCGCAAGACGCCGAAUGAUGGGCCUGCGUCCGAUUAGCCAGUUGGUGGGGUCACGGCUCACCAAAGCGACGAUCGGUAGCUGGUCUGAGAGGACGAUCAGCCACACUGGGAUUGAGAACGGCCCAGACUCCUACGGGGGGCAGCAGUGAGGAAUCUUCGUCAAUGGGGGCAACCCUGAACGAGCAACGCCGCGUGCAGGAGGACGGUUUUCGGAUCGUAAACUGCUUUUCUCGGGGACGACACAAAGGACGGUACCCGAGGAACAAGCCCCGGCUAACUACGUGCCAGCAGCCGCGGUAAUACGUAGGGGGCGAGCGUUGUCCGGAGUUACUGGGCGUAAAGCGCGCGCAGGCGGUCCAUUAAGUCUGGAGUGACAGUUCCCAGCUUACCUGGGAAAGGUCUUCGGAAACUGGUGGACUUGAGGGACUCAGAGGGAGACGGAAUUCCAGGUGGAGCGGUGAAAUGCGUAGAGAUCUGGAGGAACACCAAAGGCGAAGGCAGUCUCCUGGGAGUUUCCUGACGCUCAGGCGCGAAAGCCAGGGGAGCGAACGGGAUUAGAUACCCCGGUAGUCCUGGCCGUAAACGAUGACCACCAGGCGUGGGAGGGAUCGACCCCUUCCGUGCCGGCGCUUACGCUUUGAGUGGUCCGCCUGGGGAGUACGGUCGCAAGAUUAAAACUCAAAGGAAUUGACGGGGACUCGCACAAGCAGCGGAGCGUGUGGUUUAAUUCGAUGCAACGCGAAGAACCUUACCAAAGCUUGACAUGCACUCGCACCAGCCGUAAUGGGCUCUUCCUUCGGGACGGGUGUGCAGGUGCUGCAUGGCUGUCGUCAGCUCGUGUCGUGAGAUGUUGGGUUCAGUCCCGCAACGAGCGCAACCCCUGUCGCUAGUUGAAUGUUCUAGCGAGACCGCCGUCUCAAAACGGAGGAAGGUGGGGAUGACGUCAAGUCAGCACGGCCCUGACGCUUUGGGCGACACACACGCUACAAUGGCCGGGACAAUGGGUUGCCAACCCGCGAGGGGGAGCCAAUCCCACAAACCCGGUCUCAGUUCGGAUUGUAGGCUGCAACUCGCCUGCAUGAAGUCGGAGUUGCUAGUAACCGCAAGUCAGCACAUUGCGGUGAAUACGUUCCCGGGUCUUGUACACACCGCCCGUCACACCACGAAAGUUGACAACACCUGAAGCCGCCGGGCUAACCCGCAAGGGGGGCAGGCGUCGAGGGUGGGGCCAAUGAUUGGGGUGAAGUCGUAACAAGGUAGCCGUA